CAAGAGCAGGCUGAAGAGACACUCUCCUUGCUCUUUUUAGAAAUGAACGUCUUUCUGUUUCUGAGAGAAAAGGGAAGGCAGAAACACAUGAGGAAAACAAGGGACCAAGCCUGAGGAGCAUCAACAACUCUUUUCCCGAGACCCACAGAAAGCUCCUGUUUUCCUGCCAUGAUACACUUCCACAAGCAUAUUGUGAAGAUCAGACUUUGAUAGAUCUGGCUGCGACUGCAAUAACUGCUAUGUCCAUAUAUGGUAUAAGCUAAUCUGCUGAAUGCUAUGUCAUAAUAUGUUAUGUUUAUAUUCACAGCAGUUUUUAUUAUACUUUUACUCUUUUACACUACCUGUUAUAGUAUAUCUGACACUUUCACACUAGAACUGUGUAUUGGUCGGUGCUACACUGUCAUUUACUGUGCCCAUUGUCAUGUUUUAAUAUUUACUGUACUGUCUUCUGGUGUUUGCAUGUGCACUUUAUAUAGAAUGUGUAGGUCUUAUUUGGUUCGGUGUCUCAUGUGGUUAGUGUCGUGUUUUAUGUAGCACCGUGGUCCUGGAGGAACGUUGUUUCGUUUCACUGUGUACUGUACCAGCUGUAUAUGGUUGAAAUAACAAUAAAGCCAUUGAUUUGACUUGA
Molecule: long non-coding RNA, 628 nt
Organism: Ictalurus furcatus (blue catfish)
Lineage: Eukaryota; Metazoa; Chordata; Actinopteri; Siluriformes; Ictaluridae
Exons: 2
Source: RefSeq, a predicted model, not a curated record